This 1657-nucleotide long non-coding RNA is filed under the name Salmo salar (Atlantic salmon). Its description in RNAcentral is "lncRNA (ENSSSAG00000098956.1)". Lineage: Eukaryota; Metazoa; Chordata; Actinopteri; Salmoniformes; Salmonidae. The record is from RNAcentral.
UACAAAUCAUUGGUCUGUAAAGGAACGUUUUAAGGGGAGGGGGGCAGUUGUAGGCCUACUAACUUUCAUGAUUUUGAAAUGAGAUCUUCAUGGAAGAAAAUAAGCCUAGGCCUAAAGGCUACUGCGAGUUCAAUCUUUCAAUCGACUUCAAAAUAGGCAUUGCAAUGUCACACAUUUUCUGUACUUGAAAAGCUCAUAGGAAUCUAAUUAGCAUACACAAAUUGCAUUAUGGGACAUUUUCUUGAUUUUAUAUCAUUGUUUUUACCUGUAUGGUGAUAUAAAGUUUCAAGUGUAAAUGGAAGGUUUUGUCAGGUUUCCUGUAAGGUGGAAUAUAUUGCACAACUACAAAACGCAUGAUUGAUUGCCUCAGUGUGAGGAUAUCUAGGGGUCCCACUAACCAUGUCACCAAAAACCAGAACCUGCUGAUAAAGAAAUUCCCAAUUGUCCUUAAAAUUUAACCCAAAUGAAAAAAAAGUGUCUAGGCCUACAUGAUCCAACACAUCUGCCAUGACUGCAGUAGAGUAGACUAGAGUCAAAUUCCGCUCCAAGUGUAAAGGGACACCCUUCUAUUUGACCUGCCCACAGCCCACUUUAUUCGAGACAACAUCUGUGACAACCAAACAGUUUUGCCAAAAACACAACCGUUUGUUUUCUUCUUCUACUCCUUGAAGUGAACAAUAUGUCACUUCAUUUUCCCGCUAGUUGCUAUAAGAAAAAAGGGGAGAGGGACAAGGAGUCUGUCUGGCUUUUUGCAGAAAAGCAAAAUAUCGUUUGGGAAUGGAGCUAUUGUGAGUGUAGGCUACCAAAAAGCAAUAUCGAAGCAUUUUGUCUCUCAGAAAAUAAUGUCUGAUCAGCUCACCCGUCAACAGACGUCAUCGCCCCCCAAACGCUGUCAAACAAAGCUGAAGUGGAAUGGUCUUUCAGCUUUCAGAGGGUCUCUCUGGGAAUACCGCCUUCUACUUAUUUAAUCACCAUAUCCCCGAGAGCUCGAGCCUCUUCAUUAAUUAUCGGCGCCAAAACAUUCAGCCGAGCUGUUUCUGUGUAGGAUGUGAGCGAGGCGUUAGCUCUGUUUUGGCGCGCAUGGGACUCUAUAGGGCUAGUGACCGCUCCGGAUAACAUUUUCACAAAUUACCCACAUUUUCCCCCUAAAAACCGAAUCGGUGUCAGGGCUCAUCUGACGUGUGGCGUUUCGGUUGGCUUGGAAGAUCUUCAGUGCAAAGAACAAGCAUAAGAGGAUCCCACGGAGGUGUGUAAUAUGGCUGUGGCUGUGACAGUGAUUGGGGAGGAAGCCUGGUUCUCAGGGGGAAAUCCCACUGAGCUCCCUCAAGGAGAGAUGUCCCCUCCUGGGGGGAGAGACUGACAGAGUCCCCUGCUUCUCAACCACCGCUGGAACAUUGGACUGGAUGCUCCAGCAUAGCUCAGAGAACACUGCUAAACACUCCAGCUGCAGGUGUCCCAGCUGUUUCUGCUGUAGAGGAUCAUGGAAAGAUAGAUAGCUGCAGACUGUCGGAACAUUUGGGAAAAUCUGUAGUGGAAGGAGCAGAAAUAAAGACCUUAUUUAUUCAUUUGUAAUUCCCAUAAUGUCUGUUGAAAUAGGGGUAGGUUAGUAAAUGCUUAGCAGGGAAUGGUAUAUUUUAGUAAACUGGUAAGAUCUCUC